GAUGAACGCUGGCGGCGUGCCUAAUACAUGCAAGUCGAGCGAACAGAUCAGGAGCUUGCUCCUUAGACGUUAGCGGCGGACGGGUGAGUAACACGUGGAUAACCUACCUAUAAGACUGGGAUAACUUCGGGAAACCGGAGCUAAUACCGGAUAACAUAUUGAACCGCAUGGUUCAAUAGUGAAAGGCGGCUUUGCUGUCACUUAUAGAUGGAUCCGCGCCGGAUUAGCUAGUUGGUAAGGUAACGGCUUACCAAGGCAACGAUACGUAGCCGACCUGAGCGCGUGAAGGGGCACUCUGGAGCUGAGAGACGGUCCAGACACCGAGGUGAGGCAGCGGUAGGGAAGGGUCCGAAAUGGGCGGAAGCCUGAAGGAGCAACGCCAGGUGGAUGAUGAAGGUCUUCGGAGCGGAAAACGCUGUUAGCAUGGAAGAACAAAUGUGUAAGUAACUGUGCACAACGUGACGGUACCUGGUCAGAAAGCCACGGCUAACUACGUG
This 497-nucleotide ribosomal RNA is filed under the name uncultured bacterium. RNAcentral's name for it is "partial 16S ribosomal RNA". It matches the Rfam family "Bacterial small subunit ribosomal RNA", at positions 28 to 507 of the family's 1533-position model. The record is from RNAcentral.